Molecule: ribosomal RNA, 497 nt
Filed under: uncultured bacterium
Lineage: Bacteria
Description: partial 16S ribosomal RNA
Rfam family: Bacterial small subunit ribosomal RNA
Source: RNAcentral
GACGAACGCUGGCGGCGUGCCUAAUACAUGCAAGUUGAGCGAUGAAGCUUGGUGCUUGCACCAAUUUGAAGAGCAGCGAACGGGUGAGUAACGCGUGGGGAAUCUGCCUUUGAGCGGGGGACAACAUUUGGAAACGAAUGCUAAUACCGCAUAACAACUUUAAACAUAAGUUUUAAGUUUGAAAGAUGCAAUUGCUUCACUCAAAGAUGAUCCCGCGUUGUAUUAGCUAGUUGGUGAGGUAAAGGCUCACCAAGGCGAUGAUACAUAGCCGACCUGAGAGGGUGAUCGGCCACAUUGGGACUGAGACACGGCCCAAACUCCUACGGGAGGCAGCAGUAGGGAAUCUUCGGCAAUGGACGAAAGUCUGACCGAGCAACGCCGCGUGAGUGAAGAAGGUUUUCGGAUCGUAAAACUCUGUUGGUAGAGAAGAACGUUGGUGAGAGUGGAAAGCUCAUCAAGUGACGGUAACUACCCAGAAAGGGACGGCUAACUACGUG